GCGCCGGUGGUGUAAUGGCGUAGAGCAUUCCCGCCCGGUCAGAGGGAGGUGCGGGUUCGAGUCCCGCCCGGCGCU
Non-coding RNA from Heligmosomoides polygyrus, 75 nucleotides. Lineage: Eukaryota; Metazoa; Nematoda; Chromadorea; Rhabditida; Heligmosomidae. The record is from Rfam.